UAAGUAUGUAAACAAAGGCGUAUCGUC
Molecule: non-coding RNA, 27 nt
Filed under: Bombyx mori (domestic silkworm)
Lineage: Eukaryota; Metazoa; Arthropoda; Insecta; Lepidoptera; Bombycidae
Source: RNAcentral